RNAcentral lists this ribosomal RNA (666 nucleotides) under bacterium LB-108. RNAcentral's name for it is "bacterial SSU rRNA". It matches the Rfam family "Bacterial small subunit ribosomal RNA", at positions 770 to 1434 of the family's 1533-position model. The record is from RNAcentral.
UAACAGGAUUAGAUACCCUGGUAGUCCACGCUGUAAACGAUGUCGACUUGGAGGUUGUGCCCUUGAGGCGUGGCUUCCGGAGCUAACGCGUUAAGUCGACCGCCUGGGGAGUACGGCCGCAAGGUUAAAACUCAAAUGAAUUGACGGGGGCCCGCACAAGCGGUGGAGCAUGUGGUUUAAUUCGAUGCAACGCGAAGAACCUUACCUACUCUUGACAUCCACGGAAUUCGCCAGAGAUGGCUUAGUGCCUUCGGGAACCGUGAGACAGGUGCUGCAUGGCUGUCGUCAGCUCGUGUUGUGAAAUGUUGGGUUAAGUCCCGCAACGAGCGCAACCCUUAUCCUUUGUUGCCAGCACGUAAUGGUGGGAACUCAAAGGAGACUGCCGGUGAUAAACCGGAGGAAGGUGGGGAUGACGUCAAGUCAUCAUGGCCCUUACGAGUAGGGCUACACACGUGCUACAAUGGCAUAUACAAAGAGAAGCGAACUCGCGAGAGCAAGCGGACCUCAUAAAGUAUGUCGUAGUCCGGAUUGGAGUCUGCAACUCGACUCCAUGAAGUCGGAAUCGCUAGUAAUCGUAGAUCAGAAUGCUACGGUGAAUACGUUCCCGGGCCUUGUACACACCGCCCGUCACACCAUGGGAGUGGGUUGCACAAAGAAGUAGGUAGC